RNAcentral lists this ribosomal RNA (494 nucleotides) under uncultured bacterium. RNAcentral's name for it is "partial 16S ribosomal RNA". It matches the Rfam family "Bacterial small subunit ribosomal RNA", at positions 36 to 507 of the family's 1533-position model. The record is from RNAcentral.
GCCUCCCUCUUUCCUCGUGCUUAACACAUGCAAGUCGAACGGUGAAGCGCCUUCCUUUUUGGUGGGUGUGGAUGAGUGGCGAACGGGUGAGUAACACGUGAGUCACCUGCCCCCUUCUUCUGGAUAACCGCAUGCAAGUGUGACUAAUACGGGAUAUUCUGGGUCUGUCGCAUGAUGGGUCUGGGAAAGAUAUUGUUUCGGUGGGGGAUGGGCUCGCGGACUAUCAGCUUGUUGGUGGGGUGAUUGCCUACUCAGGCGGUGACGGGUAGCCGGCCUGGGGGGGUGGACCACCACAGGAGGGCUGAGACACGGCGCAGACUCCGGCGGGAGGCAGCAGGGGAGAAUAUGGCACGAACGACGCAAUGCUGAUGCAGCGACGCCGGGUUAGGGAAGGAGGCCUGAUGGUUGUGAUCCGCUGUCGCAAGUGAAGCAGGCCUGCAUUGUUUGUGGGUGGGUUGACGGUAGCUAGAUAAGAAGCGCCGGCUAACUACGUG